AAAACAUUUCUUUUAGUGCGUUUUAAAAGUAUAACCUGCCCACUGAAGUUUUAAGGGCCGCGGUAUUUUGACCGUGCUAAGGUAGCAUAAUCAUUAGUCUUUUAAUUAAGGAAUAGAAUGAAUGGUUGAACAUAAAAUUUUUUUUUGGGAAAAUUAUUUUGAAUUUUAAAUAAAAGUGAAAAUUCUUUUUAUUAUUUAAAAGACGAUAAGACCCUAUAGAGUUUUAUAGCUUAAAAUUAAUUUGUUUUUAGGUUUAAAAUGUUUUUUUAUACCGUUAUUUAGUUGGGGCAACUUCAGAAUAAUAUAAUCUUCUGAUUAAAAGUUAAUUUAAUCUUAAAUUUUAAAAAUUAAAAAAUUACCUUAGGGAUAACAGCGUAAUUAUUUUUGAGAGUUCUUAUCGAUAAAAUUGUUUGCGACCUCGAUGUUGAAUUAAAAUAUUAUUAUUGAGCAAAAUUUUUAAUAAAAAGUCUGUUCGACUUUUAAUUUUUUACAUGAUUUGAGUUCAAAACCGG
Molecule: ribosomal RNA, 512 nt
Filed under: Pseudoparonella sp. BXW-2014
Lineage: Eukaryota; Metazoa; Arthropoda; Collembola; Entomobryomorpha; Paronellidae
Description: partial 16S ribosomal RNA
Rfam family: Archaeal large subunit ribosomal RNA
Source: RNAcentral